UAAUACGUAGGGUGCGAGCGUUAAUCGGAAUUACUGGGCGUAAAGUGUGCGCAGGCGGCGCCGCAAGUCGAGUGUGAAAGCCCCGGGCUUAACUUGGGAAUUGCGCUCGAAACUAUGGUGCUGGAGUGUGGCAGAGGAAGGUGGAAUUCCACGUGUAGCGGUGAAAUGCGUAGAGAUGUGGAGGAACACCGAUGGCGAAGGCAGCCUUCUGGGCCAACACUGACGCUCAUGCACGAAAGCGUGGGGAGCAAACAGGAUUAGAUACCCUGGUAGUCCACGCCCUAAACGAUGUCGACUGGUUGUUGGGGGUUUGACACUCUCAGUAACGAAGCUAACGCGUGAAGUCGACCGCCUGGGGAGUACGGCCGCAAGGUUA
RNAcentral lists this ribosomal RNA (376 nucleotides) under uncultured bacterium. Its description in RNAcentral is "bacterial SSU rRNA". It matches the Rfam family "Bacterial small subunit ribosomal RNA", at positions 521 to 896 of the family's 1533-position model. The record is from RNAcentral.